RNAcentral lists this ribosomal RNA (450 nucleotides) under uncultured bacterium. RNAcentral describes it as "partial 16S ribosomal RNA". It matches the Rfam family "Bacterial small subunit ribosomal RNA", at positions 354 to 796 of the family's 1533-position model. The record is from RNAcentral.
GUGGGGAAUUUUGGACAAUGGGCGCAAGCCUGAUCCAGCAAUGCCGCGUGCAGGAAGAAGGCCUUCGGGUUGUAAACUGCUUUUGUACGGAACGAAACGGUCCGGGUUAAUACCCUGGGCUAAUGACGGUACCGUAAGAAUAAGCACCGGCUAACUACGUGCCAGCAGCCGCGGUAAUACGUAGGGUGCAAGCGUUAAUCGGAAUUACUGGGCGUAAAGCGUGCGCAGGCGGUUUUGUAAGACAGGCGUGAAAUCCCCGGGCGCAACCUGGGAAUUGGGCUGGUGCCUGCAAGGCUGGAGUGCGGCAGAGGAGGAUGGAAUUCCGCGUGUAGCAGUGAAAUGCGUAGAUAUGCGGAGGAACACCGAUGGCGAAGGCAAUCCCCUGGGCCUGCACUGACGCUCAUGCACGAAAGCGUGGGGAGCAAACAGGAUUAGAUACCCUAGUAGUCC